AAAUGCUUAUAGAUUUGAGUUGGUCACUUGUCCUAAGUGCUAUAAGUAACGAAAGUUAAAUUACGUGUUUGAAUUUAAUUGUUAUUUUUCAACUUUUUACUCAGUAGGGACGUAUUUAAACGAGAGUACUAUCUGUAUAUUUUGGAAUGAUAAAUUCGAGUUCCAACUGCUUCAUAACGCGAAGUAUAUAAGCUAUGUGGGAAUAAAUAUUGAUAGAUUAAAUGCUAACAAAGGUCGAUAUAUUGUUGACACGGGAUUGAAGAAAAAAGAGCUUCAAGACAAACAUUUGACUUUGGAUGACCUUGUUAUAAAAUUAAUUUUAUCUAUUGAAGUCACACACUGCGAGACUUUUGUAGUAUUCGACAAAGAUAUCGAUCGAUUUGUGGAUGCGUUUACUAAGGCGUCAGUAUAUUCAAUAUGGAGGUCUUUACACAAUAAAUUUGUUUUUGCUCAUAUAACUAACGAAUUGCAGGAGUCUCGUAACCACUUCUUUGAAGGUAUGUACAAAGACAAAGUGAUAAGCAACUAUUCUUAAAUAUUCAAUUUUCAAUUAUUUUGAUUUGUUAUUAGUAUUUAAUUUUGCUCAUUAACUGUAAUGGCCCUUAAUGAAGGAUGUUAAAAAUCGAAUUCUGAAAUCAUAAGUUCAAUUAUAACUAUUUUUUGAAUACUUA
Long non-coding RNA from Drosophila yakuba, 671 nucleotides. RefSeq lists it as uncharacterized. NCBI's taxonomy places the organism in Eukaryota, Metazoa, Arthropoda, Insecta, Diptera, Drosophilidae. The transcript has 2 exons. The record is from RefSeq and is a predicted model, not a curated record.